GAUGAACGCUGGCGGCGUGCCUAAUACAUGCAAGUCGAGCGAACAGAUGAGGAGCUUGCUCCUCUGACGUUAGCGGCGGACGGGUGAGUAACACGUGGAUAACCUACCUAUAAUACUGGUAUAACUUCGGGAAACCGGAGCUAAUACCGGAUAAUAUAUUGAACCGCAUGGUUCAAUAGUGAAAGACGGUUUUGCUGUCACUUAUAGAUGGAUCUGCGCCGCAUUAGCUAGUUGGUAAGGUAACGGCUUACCAAGGCAACGAUGCGUAGCCGAACUGAGAGGCUGAUCGGCCACACUGGAACGGAGACACGGUCCAGACUCCUACGGGAGGCCGCAGUAGGGAAUCUUCCGCAAUGGGCGAAAGCCUGACGGAGCAAGGGCGCGCGAGUGAUGACGGUCCUCGGAUCGUAAAACUCUGUUAUUAGGGAAGAACAAAUGUGUAAGUAGCUGUGCCCGGCUUGACGGUACCUGAUCAGAAAGCCACGGCUAACUACGUG
Molecule: ribosomal RNA, 497 nt
Filed under: uncultured bacterium
Lineage: Bacteria
Description: partial 16S ribosomal RNA
Rfam family: Bacterial small subunit ribosomal RNA
Source: RNAcentral